Molecule: non-coding RNA, 2463 nt
Organism: Rattus norvegicus (Norway rat)
Lineage: Eukaryota; Metazoa; Chordata; Mammalia; Rodentia; Muridae
Source: RefSeq, a predicted model, not a curated record
CUGGCCAUCCGCCCGCGGGACCGCGACCUGCGUGCCCAGAACAGCAGAGGACCCGCGCCCGGCGGGCUCCAGGCGCUCACUGCUCGCUCAGACCACGCGUCUCCAUGGCGACCGAUCCACGCCACGCGCACUACCAAGAAGUGGCCGCCAGGGGCACCCUAAGGCUCUAGAUCUGUAUGCCUGUAUGUUAUCAUCUACUUGAGCUCUGAUGUGACUAAGUAGACGCUGUGGGUCCCUGGACGGACACGGACAUGGCUCCUCCACACCUGUGCGGGCUCCGGAGCGAGAAGAGCACACCAGAUCCUUUGGAACGUGAGUUACCGAUGACUGUGAGCUGAGGUGCAUGGAACCCAAGAACAGCAAGAACGGCAAGUGCUGUGAACUGCGAGGGCACCUCUGAGCGCCCCGCCUCUACCCCCAUCCCAGCUCUUAUCAAGACCGGACUCAUGGGCUGAGGGUACAGCUCAGUGGCAGGGCACUUACACAGCACGUAGGAGACUGAAGUGUCUCGCCCAGCCACACCGCAGUUAAAAGGACCAAACCUGGUAUGAGCCAUUGCUUGCUUUUUUUUUUUUCCUUCAGGUUUAUCCACCGAAGGUCCUAUUUUCCAAAUGUGGCUUGCAAGAGACAGAGGUUCUUGCCUAACAUAUAUCGAGCACUGGGUUUGAUCCCCAGCACCCGGGAAACUUGGCAUGGUGGCACACACCUGUAAUCCCAGAACCUGGGAGGUGAAGACAGAGGGAUCAGGAGUUCAAGAUCAUCCUUGGCUACAAAUUGACUUUGAGAGCAGCCAAGUUAUAGGAGACACUGUGACAAGCUACCAUGGCAACCAAAACCUAGAAUGCCUACUGUAGUAUUUCUUAUCCUAUAAUCCCUUCAGGAAUGUCACCCUUCCCACAGAAAGGGACAGUCAAUUCUAUAUUCCCUGCAGUCUGGGUAGAUUUGUUGACUUCCAUGAAAUGAAUAGUAUGUGUCAUGUCCGGGAUGUAACUCAUGUGUUAGAAUGCUUGCCUUACAUGCAAAACCCUAGGCUUCCUAUCCUCAGUUUCCUUCCUGACCAUAUGCCUAUCUCUCUUGGUUGCUUGCUUUAUUUAAAGCUAAAUUUAAAUUUUAAAAUUUAUUUUAUGUUUACAUAUGUGUUCACACAGGUGCCACUGCAUGUAUGGAGGAGUCAGAGGGACAAUCCAAGGGAGUCUCCUUCCACCACGUAGGUCCUGGGGAUAGACCUCAGGUCUUCCUGUUUAAUUCUAGGAGACUUUACCCAGUGACCCAUCUUUUCCCACUGAUUUGCUUGAUUUUAUUUGUUUGUUUGUUUGUUUGUUUGUUUUGUACUAGAGGGUGGACCCAGGGCCUCAGAAAUGCUAACACUGGCCAGACAACUCAGAAAUGCUAACACUGGCCAGACAACUCAGAAAUGCUAACACUGGCCAGACGUUCUACCACUGAGCUACACCCUCAGCUCUAUGAUUUUCACUGUUGAUCUGUAAGAGUUUUGUGGGGGUUUUGUGUGUGUGUGUGUGUGUGUGUGUGUGUGUGUGUGUGUGUGUGUGUGUUUGGAGACAGGAGUCCAUGUAGCCCACACUAGCCUCAAACUCUAUGUAGCCAAGGGUGAUCCUAAACUUCUGAUUCUUCUGCUGUUUUAGUUGGUUUUAUUGCUGUGAAGAGAUACCAUGACCACAGCAACUCUUAUAAAGGAAAGCAUUUAACUGGGACUUGUAAUUGUUUUGGCUUUUCUAGGUCUGCCUGUGUUCCAAAAUAAUGACAGAGGCUUACUUUUAUUGGCAGUGCCUAUGGCCUUAAGCAAAGUUUGCUCUCCAACUAGCUUGUUAUAACCCAUUUAUACUAUAAUUAUAAUAUUAUAAUAUUAACCCAUUUAUACUAUUCCAUGUCUGCCACGUGACUGGUUACCUCUCCUCAGUUUCAGUCUGGGUGGUGAACCUUCCUGAACCUGACUCUUUCAGAGUCAGACAUGGAAUAGUAUAAAUGGGCUAAUACUAUAACAAGAAGCAAGGUGACCCACAGGCAGACUUGGUGCUGGAGAAGGAGUCAAGAGUUCUAUAUCCUAGUUAGCAGGCUGCAGGAGGUGAGAGACACACUGAGCCUGGCUUUAGCUUCUGAAACCUCUGAAGCCCACUUCCAGUGACAUGCUUCCUCCAACAAGGCCACGCCCCCUAAAGUUGUCACUCCCUAUGAGCCUUUGGGGACCAUUUUUAUUCAAACUACCACACCUGCCUUCACCUCCCUUAUGCUAGGAUUAUAGUCAUGUGUACAGUUUAUGUGGUGCUGGGGACUGAAACCAGGACCUUGGGCAGGCUAUACCACAUUCUACAGACUGAGCUAUUACUACACCCUCAGACCUAUAAAGGCUCGUCAGAGUUUAGGACCAAUUCCUCUGUGGCUGUAAAGAAUCCAGAUCUGUAGCUUAUGUGCUUAUUGCCUUAAAAAUCAUUUUAAAGAUCUACU